UUCCACCUUGCUUAUGGGAAGCCAUGCUGGCAGUGGGUUCAUGCUGAUUUCAUAGAAGAUAAAUCGUGUUUUAAUGAAUGAAUGUGCAUAGAAACCUCUGAAACAUCUGGGCCCAAACUGCACCAAAUGGUUCCUGGAGAUCUGUUUCCCUCUCUUUGAAGUCUAAGCUGCAUUCCUAAAAUCUACGUUUUCUGUUAUUAAAAUGCUAGGAAUUGAAGGAUUGGUGGGGAAAAACAAAUUAAUAUGAGGAGACACACUGUUGGUGCAUCUCUGCUUAAAUAUCAUAACACCACAGCAAAAUUUUGGAAAGCAUUCUGUAUCAAAACAUUGCAAGUGGUUAAGUUCUGCAUUCUUACUCACGCAACCAUUUUGCAGUUUGUAAAAAUUAAAAAAAAAUCUGUCACCUCAUAUUUAUGGUAAAGUAAAUAUUUUUCUAACAAGUUUACCUCCAGAAGUCACUGCAUAUCAACUUCAACUUUCACAAAGAAUGAAUAACCCCAUGGAAAUAUGCUUGUGUGUGUGACACUCCAACCACUGUCAUUCCUGGCCAAGCACUAAUUAGCAUUUUUGCUCUACAGGAUCAUAGCCCUGGCAAAGAACAAACUGCCAACACAUAGAGACAGUUCAACAGAAACUCUCAGAGGAGAAACAGUAUGUCCACUCACCAUCAUUGCAGUCUCAAUCGGGAAGGGGAGCCAGAAGAUGAGAAGUAGCAAAACACUCAGCACCACUCCCUCUUCUUUCCCACAAAGACCUACUAUGCAUCCAGAAUCAGAGAUUAUGUGAUCCAACCGUUGACUACUGCUUAUUCUUUCAGCCUACUCUUGAUCUCCACACAACUAAAGGAUCUGCCCUACAUCCUAUUCUGUGCAGUAGGACAAUAUGUGCUGUGAGGGGUGGCUGUUUGAGAAAGCCAAGAGACCAGAAACGAUUCGGACAUGCUCCCCAUUGAAGAAAGGAAGUUAUGAAGAGACUGUACUGUUGUUAUGAAUAGAUUUUCCUAUUGGUGUUGGACAUGCUGAUCCCAUAAAGGUGGUUGUUGAGAGACCUAAGUGUUCUAUUAAU
This is a non-coding RNA of Pogona vitticeps (central bearded dragon), 1065 nucleotides long. Lineage: Eukaryota; Metazoa; Chordata; Lepidosauria; Squamata; Agamidae. The record is from RefSeq and is a predicted model, not a curated record.